Molecule: ribosomal RNA, 1196 nt
Filed under: Acinetobacter sp. SM1B
Lineage: Bacteria; Pseudomonadati; Pseudomonadota; Gammaproteobacteria; Moraxellales; Moraxellaceae
Description: bacterial SSU rRNA
Rfam family: Bacterial small subunit ribosomal RNA
Source: RNAcentral
GCUAAUACCGCAUACGCCCUACGGGGGAAAGCAGGGGAUCUUCGGACCUUGCGCUAAUAGAUGAGCCUAAGUCGGAUUAGCUAGUUGGUGGGGUAAAGGCUUACCAAGGCGACGAUCUGUAGCGGGUCUGAGAGGAUGAUCCGCCACACUGGGACUGAGACACGGCCCAGACUCCUACGGGAGGCAGCAGUGGGGAAUAUUGGACAAUGGGCGGAAGCCUGAUCCAGCCAUGCCGCGUGUGUGAAGAAGGCCUUUUGGUUGUAAAGCACUUUAAGCGAGGAGGAGGCUCCUUUAGUUAAUACCUAAAGAGAGUGGACGUUACUCGCAGAAUAAGCACCGGCUAACUCUGUGCCAGCAGCCGCGGUAAUACAGAGGGUGCGAGCGUUAAUCGGAUUUACUGGGCGUAAAGCGUGCGUAGGCGGCUUUUUAAGUCGGAUGUGAAAUCCCUGAGCUUAACUUAGGAAUUGCAUUCGAUACUGGAAAGCUAGAGUAUGGGAGAGGAUGGUAGAAUUCCAGGUGUAGCGGUGAAAUGCGUAGAGAUCUGGAGGAAUACCGAUGGCGAAGGCAGCCAUCUGGCCUAAUACUGACGCUGAGGUACGAAAGCAUGGGGAGCAAACAGGAUUAGAUACCCUGGUAGUCCAUGCCGUAAACGAUGUCUACUAGCCGUUGGGGCCUUUGAGGCUUUAGUGGCGCAGCUAACGCGAUAAGUAGACCGCCUGGGGAGUACGGUCGCAAGACUAAAACUCAAAUGAAUUGACGGGGGCCCGCACAAGCGGUGGAGCAUGUGGUUUAAUUCGAUGCAACGCGAAGAACCUUACCUGGCCUUGACAUACUAAGAACUUUCCAGAGAUGGAUUGGUGCCUUCGGGAACUUAGAUACAGGUGCUGCAUGGCUGUCGUCAGCUCGUGUCGUGAGAUGUUGGGUUAAGUCCCGCAACGAGCGCAACCCUUUUCCUUAUUUGCCAGCNNNNNNNNNNNNNNNNNUGAAGUCGGAAUCGCUAGUAAUCGCGGAUCAGAAUGCCGCGGUGAAUACGUUCCCGGGCCUUGUACACACCGCCCGUCACACCAUGGGAGUUUGUUGCACCAGAAGUAGGUAGUCUAACCGCAAGGAGGACGCUUACCACGGUGUGGCCGAUGACUGGGGUGAAGUCGUAACAAGGUAGCCGUAGGGGAACCUGCGGCUGGAUCACCUCCUUA